This 253-nucleotide ribosomal RNA is filed under the name uncultured bacterium. RNAcentral's name for it is "partial 16S ribosomal RNA". It matches the Rfam family "Bacterial small subunit ribosomal RNA", at positions 524 to 776 of the family's 1533-position model. The record is from RNAcentral.
UACGUAGGGUGCAAGCGUUAAUCGGAAUUACUGGGCGUAAAGCGUGCGCAGGCGGUUCCGCAAGUCAGAUGUGAAAUCCCCGGGCUCAACCUGGGAACUGCAUUUGAAACUACGGGGCUAGAGUGUGUCAGAGGGGGGUGGAAUUCCACGUGUAGCAGUGAAAUGCGUAGAGAUGUGGAGGAACACCGGUGGCGAAGGCGGCCCUCUGGACGGUGACUGACGCUGAGACGCGAAAGCGUGGGGAGCAAACAGG